This 3829-nucleotide long non-coding RNA is filed under the name Homo sapiens (human). RNAcentral's name for it is "HSALNT0186081". The record is from RNAcentral. Lineage: Eukaryota; Metazoa; Chordata; Mammalia; Primates; Hominidae.
GUCGUAAAGAACUUUUCUGGAACUGGUGACUGAUUUAAGACAUUGGAAGAUCAUGAUAAGCUGCAUAUCUUCCAGUCACAUGAUGGUAAAUCUGUGAGGAAAAGCAGAGUUUAAUUAACAAUCAUUCUAUAAUUAUACACAUCAGUUAAUAAUUAUACUAUCAAAUAAUAAUAAAUAGUUUUAAUGAACAUUUCAUUAGAAAGCCUCACUAGUAUGUGCUUCAGCAGAAUCUCCACCCUACUCACUUCUGAUGGCGGUUUGCUUGGAAGAAAAGGUAGAGGAUUGGGUAGGAUGAGGUCAAUCAGAUGAGUUUUUAUCUCCAGUUCUCAAUUUGACUUUUCAAUUCCUUUCUCAAAAAACACUUGUUAAUUUAUUCCAAAGACAGAGAUGAUUACUCACCUGCCUCUCAAUGUCCGAGAGCAGAGUACUGGCACCUAUUCGAAAGAGUUCUGGCUUCAGCCACUCAUCUCCAAGCUCCUCCUUUACAAGAGAGAGCCAAGCAAGGGAAUCCUUUGCACUGCGGAUGCCUCCUGCUGGUUUAAACCCUAUCUAAAUGGGAAGGCAGAGAAUAGAACAAUCUUUAUUGUUAUUGGAUUUCUUUUAAAAAUAGUACUAUGUUUAUCAGAGUCUUGAUUCUCUCUCUCCCUCUUUUGUUGAAAAAAAAUCUUUUCACUUCAUCCAGUGAAAGGGCUUAGAUCAGUGACUCAUGCUCAUUCACACUACAAAACAACUUUUCCAAGAUUUUUGGAAGAAUGUCACUACUUCCAAACAGACACUAGUGAGGGUUAAUAACCCUCAUUAACAUUUCACUUAUUGGAAAGUCAUAAACCUCCACCAUCUAGACUAUAGCUGUGAACCUGGAAUAAACAAGGAAGGUGUCAAUAAAUAGGAAAACAGAUCACAAAAGCAAAGCCCACUCAUUCUACAUUUCCACAAGUAAGCCUGUAGAGUCACUUCUCAGCCUUCAUCUUGAGGUUCAAAAGACACGUGCAUUUAAAAUCAAAGGACAGAAUCAGCAAGGCUGCAAGGUUACCCUAACCAAACUGGCAGCAAAAAAGCAAGGAAAGUUGACAGUUGUUUUAACCAAUUUAACUGUGGGAUUUUUUUUCUAAGUUGCAGGCACACACAGUUCUAAAAAGCUGGCAGACCAGUUACAUAAGGGCAGUAGAAAAACACCGUGAGGGGCUCCUCAUAGUCCAGUAGUCUUUAAGGUUGAUCAUAACACAGCUGAAUUCAGCCAAUAUCUGAUAUUCGUAAAUGAUGUCCCUGGAUCCAUUAGGAAAUGAAAGAUAUGUUCCAUAUACAAUAAAACUCUGAUUAUCUGGAUUUACAUGUUUCAGGAACCUGACUAUCCAGUAGAGUUGGGAAUCUGUAGAUGGUAGUGGUCAAAACAACACCUCAGAGCCUGAGUACUAAAUCUCUCACGUUUUAUCACUCAGGGCUAUGACUGGUUGCACCAGCAGAUGACUGCUAACAGAAUGCUAGAGAAGGGAGACAUUAAAUGAAUAUAUUCUAUUAUCAACCCAAGCAGGAAACCUUAUAGUUUAAUCCAAACUCCACCAUUCCCUGGCCACACCACACCCAAUCAAUAUUUAAGUCCUGACAAUUCUACCUCCUUACCUUCCUUACCCCCUCACAUGCACUCUUUCCACUGCACUCUCACUUGUUUCAGUUUAGACCCUUAUCAAUUCUCACAGGAAAUAUCAGUAAAAGUCUUUUAACUGGUUUCCCUGCCUCAAUUACACAACGUCACACAACUAAGCAGUAGCAGUGCACGGAUUCCAACCAUAUCUGCUAUUACUCUGGAGCCCAAGCUGUAAGGUAGUAGGGGGUUAAGUAGGAUGAGGUUAUUUGUUGAGAAUAAGCCAAAAAAAUCAAUUAGUUGAUAUUAGCAUACAUGUUAAUCAUAGGACCAUUUUUGUCAAUUAGGCAGUGCUUCUUACAGAUUUCCUAUACAGUUCAGUUUGUGUCAGCAAGUCUGUUUCCAGAGAGGUUCUAACAUAAGUUUAUCUUUUUUUUUUUUAAAGAGAAUAUGGAAGACAUAAAUCUGCAAUGAAAUCAGUUAUGAAAUAUUAAACCUCUGCUUCUCAGGAGUGACACUAAUCAUGGUCUGGAAGCUAGCCUAUCGCAUUUUAAAACACCCUUAAAUCAAUGACGUAGAAACUUUAUAGUCUAAGGGCUGCCCAAGCAACUUGUCAAGCAACCCGAAAGGCUGCACCUGAUUUGCAAACACAUACACAGAACCUAUUUGUUUGAAAUCGAAUAUGAUUAAAUGAAUACAAUUUGGCUUGUACCUGUCUUUUUCUUAAUAAAACUAGGAUGGACUUAUUUAUUACCGAGGAAAAGAAUCAAUACAAUUAAAAAGAAAGGACUGAAAGACAGCAAAGUGUCCCUCCCUCUGUACUCUGGCCUGGAACACUGAGCACUUAAAAAUUUCAUUGACAUUCUUUGCUUGUUGUCUAAGAGCUCUCCUGAGAAGGAACAUACUCAUUUUUCCAUUCCUAGCAUUUAACACAGGUUAACAUGGCACAUGGUUAACUACCCAAUAAAUGUUUGUUGAGAACAAAACAGGACUGGGUCCCCAAUGGCAGGUCUGAACCCUGGCAAUGGAACUUAAUGCAAACAGAUGCCUGAAGACUAUGCCAGACCCAAAACCACCAGGGAUGGGGGCCCAGGCAUCUGUAAGUAUGAAAAGCUUCACAUUUGGUUUUGAUAUUCUUUGGCUAAGAAUGAGAAUCACAAUCAAAUGAGUGGUGGUAGUUUCAACUGAGGACCAAAGAUAGAUUUAUCAUUUUUACAGCUUAUCUAAACAAAAACUCUUUUAACUUAUUUGGAUUGUUGCAGAAAGGAUACCAGGUAGAGGUUAUUCGAGUUGGGUCAGCUUUCUCAUGUAGUUCACAAUAGAUAUUUAUCCUAUUCGUAAUUAAGAUGUGAAGUUAUUUUAAGUGAGAAAAUUCUGGAAGGAGUUUAUUUCCUCUCAUAAAACAGUAUAUUAAAAAAAAGGUCACUAUUCCAAAAUAAACUGAAGCUACACUUACAUAUAAAGUCAUCACAUCCAAUGGACAAAGGAUUAAAGGUCUUUUUUGGGUUUCUAUUUGGCACAAAUCAAGAGACUGGAUUUAAAAGAUGCCUCUCAGGAAGGGAAAGUGUCAUUAAACACACACACACACACACACACACACACACACACACACACACAACCUUGCUCUCCAAUCAUGUAAAAAAAAAAAUCCUUUGAGAUAAUUUGCAGCUAAACAAGUAACUUGAGAUGAAAAGGAAAAUCCAAACUCAUUUUUAAAAAAGCAACUCAUACGCAUUUUUCCUUUUAACUUCAUAUGUUUCAAAAAAUAUGUAUCAUUUUUCGAAAAGCUGACAAAAACUAGUAUACACCCUCCUCAGCUUAACAGUCUUCCAAAGAGCACAUCCAACUUCCAUAAAACGCAAAAAUUGAUAUUUAAUUCAAGAGCUAUAUAACGUCUAGCUACCUUUUCCCUGCUGUUUCACAGCAUUUCAUUAUUUUGUUUAAUAAGUUCAUCUCCUCGAGAAUUUUCUCUUCACCUCAUAUUAUUAAAAGUAAUAAGUUUUUCUGGACCGGGGGUUUCCCAACAGAAAAACCAAUUUAUGUGUGUCCUUCAAUAAUGACAGGAAAAGAUUGUUUCCCAUUAUAUUGCAUACCUUUCAUAUCACCACCACAGCUUAUCAUUCAAUAAAUGUUACUCUGCAAUUCUUUCCAUUCCUCAAGGAAGUUUAAUUUCUGCAUUAACCUGUUUUCACUGGCCAACACCUUGUGAGAAAGCCUCUGUGUUGCAGCAGAAUUAGUUCGUUAAAG